CAGAGAGCUUCUUUUAUAGGACUGGGGUGAGGCUCAUAGGAGUGGGGUGGAGUUAAGUGAGGUAGUAUUAAGGGAUUGGAGGAGCCUGUGACAUCACUAGGAGGGGCUUGUGGCAUCACUGGUUACUCAGAGGUAGCAAGUAUCUGGUUACUUUUUGGCAGGAAGAGACAUCACGGGAAGAAGAUUGCUGUUCUUUUGAUAGAUGGGAGAAGUUAUGUUUUUAGGGCCUGAUGGAAAUGUGUGGAUGUAGAAAUGCCUGCUAUCCCUGUUGCCAUCCCAGUGAGGACCCCCACUCCCAUUAAGAAGAGGUCUAGAAUAAAAACCCGGGCCUAGUGCAUGCAAACUGGCCAUGAGAAGAUAGAAGUUCCUGGGAGAACAAAGCAAGAAGUGAAUUCAUUCAAGAUUGCACAAAAUGCCAUGAGGGACUAAUGGACAGAAAUGUGAUCUUUCAUGGCAGUGAUGCCAUUUCUCCUCUCCCAAGUGUCAUCCUACUUCCUCGGGCAACAUGGUGACUUCGACACCAAAAUAAGGGUUAAGAAACCAACCAACAGAUUGUUUGCAAUCCCACCAACUGAACCUACAUAUUUGAGUUUCCUACCUACCCAAAUGAGUAUUGGACUCAUGAGAACUGUGUUGAAAUUCCUUUUAUAGAGAUCUUGUUCCCAUACAUAUAAUUUUAAAGUAGGUCCGCUUGGAUUCAGAGAUACAACGAGGAAAUCAGGCUAGACUGAACAGUGAGCCAAGUCAUGGUACUGGAUUAUGUUGGGCAAAGGGCAAAGGGCAGCCCAAUUAAAUAACACAGUUUGUUAUGGAUCCCAGUGGUAAUAUGUGGCUCACUGAUGCCCACUCACCUUCGAGCGUCUGUCCUUGUUAAACUUGCCACUGCACUUUCAGCAAGUAGCGCUUUUGGACACAACUGUGAAGUGUGAGACUUAAGAAUAAAAGUGAUUUUUGUGCCUGAUUGACUCUUAGGGCAAAUGGAAAAUAAAUAAUUCUUAAGAACUCUAAUAGGAUUUACCGGUGGUUUUAGAUGUGCUAAAAGAUAAAGUAAUACGACAAGUAGCCACCAUGAGAGUUAAAGUGGGCUAACUAUGGUUAUGUAAUACAAAUGGGCUUGUGGAGUUGAAAGAUUUAUUUCUAAUUGAACAACAUUGGGCUUAUAUUCAUAAUGUUUAUUUAAUUUUACAUUUAAACUACUAAUGAAAUACUCUAAAUCUAAGAUGCUAAAAUUGUGUCAAAUUAGUACAAAUUCUGCUCGGCAUGGAAGAAAAUACUAUAAUUACUGAACAGUAGAAAUAUGACUGUUUGUAGUCCUUAGGCAUUACUACAAUUAAGACAUGACGUUUGUUAAGCUUUAAGAAUUAUUUGUUAGUAAUUCUUUUAAAAGAUUUAAAAAAUCCUUUUAAGGUUCAAGUUUGCCACAAAUCUUUUUUAUAUCGCUCAUAGUUCAAUAGAUUUGGUAUUGAAAAAGCUCUUUGAGGUCACUAUGUCCUGGUUCAUGACUCAGGAUCCAAGACUAAAUAUGAGUGAAUUCAAUUUUGACUUUGAUUUUAU
RNAcentral lists this long non-coding RNA (1554 nucleotides) under Fukomys damarensis (Damara mole-rat). RNAcentral's name for it is "lncRNA (ENSFDAG00000022897.1)". Lineage: Eukaryota; Metazoa; Chordata; Mammalia; Rodentia; Bathyergidae. The record is from RNAcentral.